UACGUAGGAGGCGAGCGUUAUCCGGAAUCAUUGGGUUUAAAGGGUCCGUAGGCGGUUUAAUAAGUCAGUGGUGAAAGCCCAUCGCUUAACGAUGGAACGGCCAUUGAUACUGUUAGACUUGAAUUAUUAGGAAGUAACUAGAAUAUGUAGUGUAGCGGUGAAAUGCUUAGAUAUUACAUGGAAUACCAAUUGCGAAGGCAGGUUACUACUAAUGGAUUGACGCUGAUGGACGAAAGCGUGGGGAGCGAACAGG
This 253-nucleotide ribosomal RNA is filed under the name uncultured bacterium. Its description in RNAcentral is "partial 16S ribosomal RNA". It matches the Rfam family "Bacterial small subunit ribosomal RNA", at positions 524 to 776 of the family's 1533-position model. The record is from RNAcentral.